Long non-coding RNA from Penaeus monodon (black tiger shrimp), 1104 nucleotides. RefSeq lists it as uncharacterized. The transcript is spliced from 8 exons. The record is from RefSeq and is a predicted model, not a curated record. Lineage: Eukaryota; Metazoa; Arthropoda; Malacostraca; Decapoda; Penaeidae.
AUGCACUCUAGAUUGGAAGAAGUGUUUGUAUGCUUAUGAAUACAUUAUUUCAGAUGGUGCUUUUUCUUUGGGAUGUAGGAACCUUCAAAAACUUCUGGUUUUGUAAAGACUGAUGUACUGCAAGUUCUGAUUUUAGGGCAAAGAUUAGUCCGAUCUCGGUUCCCUGUAGUCUGCUUCAGGAAUUUUGGAUUCUAAUAAUGCACUGCAAGUUGGCUGAUUGGUUUUAGGACAAAUAUCCCAAUAUGGGGUGCUGAAGAUGAACUGUAAUGUGGGGAAAAGUCAGCAGAUUUGAAGGGAUAUUUGAUUCUAAUAAUGGACUGGAAAUGGGCCACUUGAUUUUAAGGACAAAUAACGAUUUGUUCUGCCGUGAUUUCUGUUUCUGGGGUGAAGGCUGUGAUAUCUACAUUGCUCUCUAAACAGCAAAGGCCGGAGGGAAUAAGGCACUUUUUAUUGGAACACCAUUACUGCAGCUGGUUUACAAGAGGUAAAAGUAGCAGGUAAGUAGCAUCAAGUCGAGCAGGAAACCUUCUGGGGACUGUCCUGUGUUCAGUGGUUGGUUGGAGAAAAUUAAGGACUAGAAUUAAUGCCUAUACAUCAUUUAGCUCUUGACAUUAAAUUAUUCAGAAUUUUUUUUUUUUUUUUUUUUUUUUUUUUUUUUUUUUUUUUUCCUCUAUGCAAAUUAACAAAUGUAAAUUGUCAUUUAUUUUAAUUGUGAAAAGUUAAACCUCACAGGAUGAGCAGUUCUUUGCAUCACUCGGUUCAAAGUCCAGGACAGUCCUUCAUUUUCAGGUGGAAGCUGAUUUAGUGAAUGUUCUAGUUCUUAGGUGUAACUUUUUUAACAAUUGUUAUAGGUCUUGGGUCCUUUCUGUCUUGUUUUUAGGAAAUAAUGUAAUACAGGUCCUUAAAGUCGCUGAUGUAGAUUGAUAUAAUUGAAUGCCUAAUAAUUUACUUGAUUUUAGAAACUUCAAAAUUAGUCAGAUUUAAUACCGACCUUUUCAGGAAGGAUUAAUUUUCUUUGAAGUUUUCAAUAGAUAUUAAUUUUAGUGCAUGCUUCUGCGUGUUGUACCCCCUUUUCUUGGCGAGAAAUAAAAUGGAAAAUAAAAA